This 305-nucleotide ribosomal RNA is filed under the name uncultured bacterium. RNAcentral describes it as "bacterial SSU rRNA". It matches the Rfam family "Bacterial small subunit ribosomal RNA", at positions 339 to 636 of the family's 1533-position model. The record is from RNAcentral.
CUACGGGACGCAGCAGUAGGGAAUCUUCCACAAUGGGCGAAAGCCUGAUGGAGCAACGCCGCGUGGGUGAAGAAGGUCUUCGGAUCGUAAAACCCUGUUGUUAGAGAAGAAAGUGCGUGAGAGUAACUGUUCACGUUUCGACGGUAUCUAACCAGAAAGCCACGGCUAACUACGUGCCAGCAGCCGCGGUAAUACGUAGGUGGCAAGCGUUAUCCGGAUUUAUUGGGCGUAAAGGGAACGCAGGCGGUCUUUUAAGGCUGAUGUGAAAGCCUUCGGCUUAACCGGAGUAGUGCAUUGGAAACUGG